RNAcentral lists this ribosomal RNA (458 nucleotides) under uncultured bacterium. RNAcentral's name for it is "bacterial SSU rRNA". It matches the Rfam family "Bacterial small subunit ribosomal RNA", at positions 340 to 786 of the family's 1533-position model. The record is from RNAcentral.
UACGGGAGGCAGCAGUGGGGAAUAUUGCACAAUGGGCGCAAGCCUGAUGCAGCCAUGCCGCGUGUAUGAAAAAGGCCUUCGGGUUGUAAAGUACUUUCAGUCGUGAGGAAGGUGUUAAGGUUAAUAACCUUAGCAAUUGACGUUAGCGACAGAAGAAGCACCGGCUAACUCCGUGCCAGCAGCCGCGGUAAUACGGAGGGUGCGAGCGUUAAUCGGAAUUACUGGGCGUAAAGGGCACGCAGGCGGUUAAUUAAGUUGGAUGUGAAAUCCCCGGGCUUAACCUGGGAAUGGCAUUCAAGACUGGUUAGCUAGAGUCUUGUAGAGGGGGUAGAAUUCCAUGUGUAGCGGUGAAAUGCGUAGAGAUGUGGAGGAAAUACCGGUGGCGAAAGGCGGCCCCUGGACAAAAGACUGACGCUCAUGUGCGAAAAGCGUGGGGAGCAAAACAGGGAUUAGAUACC